AUAGAGAGCUGAUAAUGAUAUUGUUUUAUGUAGGUUUAUUGUUUGCUGAUUAUAAGGCUAUUAGCCUACAUGGAUUAUUGGUCACAAGUCUAAAAAAACAACAUUAAACAGAUGCCGAUGAUUGACAACACACAUUUGAAACUAGUUCCGCCCUAGACCGCUGGUUAAUAACGAUUAUUCACUAUCUUGUUGUUCUUUUUUCUCUUUCUUUACCAGACAAACCACUCAUCCUGCGCCCGCUCUCGUACUGUUUGCUCGCGGAGUUUGAGGUCACAUGUGUUUGUAUCGUGAACUCGAACCCGCGGGCUGCGGUGAGGUGGAGUGUGAACGGGAGUGUGCCCUCUGGUGGGUACAACGUGUCGGUGGAGGGGGACUCGAGUGAAGUGAGGUCAUGGCUGCACUGGCGGAUGGACGGACGACAAAGGGUCACAUGUCUGGCGGAGAACCAGCUGGGAGAUGACUCGCUGACCCUCAUGCAGCCCGGAGAAGUGAGCUCCCCCUGGUGGCUUGUGGCGGUAGCAGCGGUCUGUGUCCCUGCGUGCACCUCAUCUCUGCUGCUGCUGUACUGCUGCCGUCGACGCAAGAGAGUACGGCGUGUGUUGAACAGACACCGUGGUGCAUAUCUCAGGGACAUGGCAGUUAAGACUCCGCUCUAUAUUAACUGCACGGAGGUGACACAUGUCUAUUGCAACGGCAGCUAUCAACUGGUUUACCAGAACGCCACGCCCCUCUUUGUACGCACCAAUCAGGUAACAGGCCUCGCCCUCUUCUUCUGUGGUGUAAACUGUUAGUACAGAGCCGUCUAUAGAACAGUAUUACGACUUUGCCACUACAGAACAGUACUAUAGAAAGGCAUUACUACAGUACUGCUACAGAACAGUAUAAGAGAACAGUGAUACUACUAACACCAUUUUGGAUCCGUUCAUUUUUUUUCAGGCUCGGCCGAUAGGAAGAAGAGGAGGAGAGAGGCGCAUGCGAGCAAGAAGAGAGAGAGGAAGAAGAGAUGGAGCGACACGAAGGGAGACGAGCAGCAGAGAGGAAACGGAGACGGCCAUCUACGUUGAGAUCCUCUGACACUUCGCACAUCCAUAUGUUUAUAAUUUGAUUAAAGGACAACAUGUAACAUAAAGAGAAAUUAAAACAAUUCCGUUUUUAUUUUUUUAUUCAAAGACGACGCCACCUCUUGAUAUGAGUAAUCAUCAGGCCUUCAUGGUAGCAUCCUCCCCUUUGUGGUAUCAGAAAAACUCACUUUAUCUUAACAUUUCAACUGAUGAUGAUUUCUUAUUUCCCUUGACCAUUUGUUGUGGGGGUCGUCUGUCCCUCACAUGAACUUUUAUCCAUGUGGUCGUUGUGAGGUGUUGUGCAUUUCUGUAUACAUAAAAGAAAAACACUUAAAAGUCGAUUAUUUCCCAUGUGAAUAUGUUCAUGUGAUAACAAGAAUAUGCUAUAACUAUGAACAUUAUAUAAUACAUACAAUAUGACGUAUUAUACUCCAUAUAUAUAUAUAUAUAUAUAUAUAUAUAUAUAUAUAUAUAUAUAUAUAUAUAUAUAUAUAUAUAUAUAUAUAUAUAUAUAUAUAUCAGUUAGAAUAAAGGGGAAUAGGAAUAGGAAUUUGUGGUGAAUGUGCAAAUGUCUAAUAAGAACUAGAAAUUGAAUUUCCCUCAGAAAACGCGUGUGAAUGCUGACGGCUGAAUGAAAAGCGCCGAGCAUUGCUGAAAACAAAAAAUGUAAAAUCAAUGGAACUAAAGAAUCUGAAAGGUGUAGCAGUAGCUGAAGUAGUAGUUGUAGUUGAAGUAUAAGUAGUAGUAGCUGAAGUAGUAGUAGUAACUGAGGUAGUAGUAGUAGUAGCUGAAGUAGUAGUAGAAGCUGAAGUAGUAGAUAGUAGCUGAAGUAGUAGUACCAGCUGAAGUAGUAGGUAGUAGCUGAAGUAGUAUUAGUAUCGUUUGGAGUAGUAGUAAUGGUAGUAGUAGUAUUGGUAGGAGUAGUAAUGGAAGUAGUAGUAUUGGUAGGAGUAAAAUGUAAAUGUAAUAAGACCCGCCAUACACAGAAAUAUCAA
This is a long non-coding RNA of Gadus morhua (Atlantic cod), 2056 nucleotides long. NCBI's taxonomy places the organism in Eukaryota, Metazoa, Chordata, Actinopteri, Gadiformes, Gadidae. The record is from Ensembl.